RNAcentral lists this non-coding RNA (31 nucleotides) under Homo sapiens (human). The record is from RNAcentral. Lineage: Eukaryota; Metazoa; Chordata; Mammalia; Primates; Hominidae.
UGGACGCUUGCUAAGUGUGGAUUGAUUUGGA